Molecule: ribosomal RNA, 515 nt
Filed under: uncultured bacterium
Lineage: Bacteria
Description: partial 16S ribosomal RNA
Rfam family: Bacterial small subunit ribosomal RNA
Source: RNAcentral
GACGAACGCUGGCGGCGUGCCUAAUACAUGCAAGUCGAGCGGACUUUCAAGAAGCUUGCUUUUUGAAAGUUAGCGGCGGACGGGUGAGUAACACGUGGGCAACCUGCCUGUAAGACGGGGAUAACUCCGGGAAACCGGGGCUAAUACCGGAUAAUAUCUCUCUUCGCAUGAAGGAAGGUUGAAAGGCGGCGCAAGCUGCCGCUUGCAGAUGGGCCCGCGGCGCAUUAGCUAGUUGGUGAGGGAACGGCUCACCAAGGCGACGAUGCGUAGCCGACCUGAGAGGGUGAUCGGCCACACUGGGACUGAGACACGGCCCAGACUCCUACGGGAGGCAGCAGUAGGGAAUCUUCCGCAAUGGACGAAAGUCUGACGGAGCAACGCCGCGUGAGCGAAGAAGGUCUUCGGAUCGUAAAGCUCUGUUGUCAGGGAAGAACAAGUACCGUUCGAAUAGGGCGGUACCUUGACGGUACCUGACCAGAAAGCCACGGCUAACUACGUGCCAGCCGCCGCGGUAA